RNAcentral lists this ribosomal RNA (253 nucleotides) under uncultured bacterium. RNAcentral describes it as "partial 16S ribosomal RNA". It matches the Rfam family "Bacterial small subunit ribosomal RNA", at positions 524 to 776 of the family's 1533-position model. The record is from RNAcentral.
UACAGAGGGGGCAAGCGUUGUUCGGAAUUACUGGGCGUAAAGGGCGCGUAGGCGGCCUGCUAAGUCGAACGUGAAAUCCCCGGGCUCAACCCGGGAACUGCGUCCGAUACUGGCGGGCUUGAAUUCGGGAGAGGGAUGUGGAAUUCCAGGUGUAGCGGUGAAAUGCGUAGAUAUCAGGAGGAACACCGGUGGCGAAGGCGGGUCUCUGGGCCGAUACUGACGCUGAGGAGCGAAAGCGUGGGGAGCGAACAGG